This 841-nucleotide ribosomal RNA is filed under the name Nectriaceae sp. YTH-2012a. RNAcentral describes it as "eukaryotic LSU rRNA". It matches the Rfam family "Eukaryotic large subunit ribosomal RNA", at positions 67 to 940 of the family's 3401-position model. The record is from RNAcentral. Lineage: Eukaryota; Fungi; Ascomycota; Sordariomycetes; Hypocreales; Nectriaceae.
AACAGGGAUUGCCCUAGUAACGGCGAGUGAAGCGGCAACAGCUCAAAUUUGAAAUCUGGCCUUCGGGUCCGAGUUGUAAUUUGUAGAGGAUGCUUUUGGUGCGGUGCCUUCCGAGUUCCCUGGAACGGGACGCCAUAGAGGGUGAGAGCCCCGUCUGGUUGGAUACCAAGCCUCUGUAAAGCUCCUUCGACGAGUCGAGUAGUUUGGGAAUGCUGCUCUAAAUGGGAGGUAUAUGUCUUCUAAAGCUAAAUACCGGCCAGAGACCGAUAGCGCACAAGUAGAGUGAUCGAAAGAUGAAAAGCACUUUGAAAAGAGGGUUAAACAGUACGUGAAAUUGUUGAAAGGGAAGCGCUUGCGACCAGACUUGGGCCCGGUUAAUCAUCCAGCGUUCUCGCUGGUGCACUUGGCCGGCCCAGGCCAGCAUCAGUUUGGCGCGGGGGAUAAAGGCUUCGGGAAUGUGGCUCCUCCGGGAGUGUUAUAGCCCGUUGUGCAAUACCCUGCGCUGGACUGAGGUUCGCGCAUCUGCAAGGAUGCUGGCGUAAUGGUCAUUAGCGACCCGUCUUGAAACACGGACCAAGGAGUCGUCCUCGUAUGCGAGUGUUCGGGUGUCAAACCCCUACGCGUAAUGAAAGUGAACGCAGGUGAGAGCUUCGGCGCAUCAUCGACCGAUCCUGAUGUUCUCGGAUGGAUUUGAGUAAGAGCAUACGGGGCCGGACCCGAAAGAAGGUGAACUAUGCCUGUAUAGGGUGAAGCCAGAGGAAACUCUGGUGGAGGCUCGCAGCGGUUCUGACGUGCAAAUCGAUCGUCAAAUAUGGGCAUGGGGGCGAAAGACUAAUCGAAC